Molecule: ribosomal RNA, 236 nt
Filed under: uncultured bacterium
Lineage: Bacteria
Description: partial 16S ribosomal RNA
Rfam family: Bacterial small subunit ribosomal RNA
Source: RNAcentral
CGGGUGAGUAACACGUAGGUGAUCUACCUUUGGGUUGGGGAUAGCCUGUGGAAACACAGGGUAAUACCGGAUACGACCUUUGCACUGUGGUGUAGAGGGGAAAGGCGCAUUAUGCGCCGCCCGAAGAUGAGCCUGCGGUCCAUUAGCUUGUUGGUGGGGUAAGAGUCCGCCAAGGCGACGAUGGAUAGCCGGCCUGAGAGGGUGAUCGGCCACACUGGGACUGAGACACGGCCCAG